GCGUCUUAGCCCAGGUCUCGGGGGCUGUGUGGAGGUUGCUCCCUGGAGCAGGGUCCCCCCGUGAGGAGGAGCCAGAGGUUGGGUCACUGGAGCAGAGGGUGCCAGACUCUGCCCUUAAGGAUCCAGUGUUGCUUUUGGACGUUGAUCCUGCAGCUGGACAGGCGGUGCAGUGAGGAGCAAGUUGCUGGCUGUCAUGAUUUCUAAGUGACCU
Long non-coding RNA from Cinclus cinclus, 211 nucleotides. RefSeq lists it as uncharacterized. The record is from RefSeq and is a predicted model, not a curated record. The transcript is spliced from 3 exons. Lineage: Eukaryota; Metazoa; Chordata; Aves; Passeriformes; Cinclidae.